Molecule: ribosomal RNA, 604 nt
Filed under: Marinobacter sp.
Lineage: Bacteria; Pseudomonadati; Pseudomonadota; Gammaproteobacteria; Pseudomonadales; Marinobacteraceae
Description: bacterial SSU rRNA
Rfam family: Bacterial small subunit ribosomal RNA
Source: RNAcentral
CGCAGCUUACCAUGCAAGUCGAGCGGUAACAGGGGGUGCUUGCACCCCGCUGACGAGCGGCGGACGGGUGAGUAAUGCAUAGGAAUCUGCCCAGUAGUGGGGGAUAGCCCGGGGAAACCCGGAUUAAUACCGCAUACGCCCUUUGGGGGAAAGCAGGGGAUCUUCGGACCUUGCGCUAUUGGAUGAGCCUAUGUCGGAUUAGCUAGUUGGUGGGGUAAAGGCCUACCAAGGCGACGAUCCGUAGCUGGUCUGAGAGGAUGAUCAGCCACAUCGGGACUGAGACACGGCCCGAACUCCUACGGGAGGCAGCAGUGGGGAAUAUUGGACAAUGGGGGCAACCCUGAUCCAGCCAUGCCGCGUGUGUGAAGAAGGCUUUCGGGUUGUAAAGCACUUUCAGUGAGGAGGAAAACCUUCUGGUUAAUACCCAUGAGGCUUGACGUUACUCACAGAAGAAGCACCGGCUAACUCCGUGCCAGCAGCCGCGGUAAUACGGAGGGUGCAAGCGUUAAUCGGAAUUACUGGGCGUAAAGCGCGCGUAGGUGGUUUGAUAAGCGAGAUGUGAAAGCCCCGGGCUUAACCUGGGAACGGCAUUUCGAACUGUCAG